AAAAACAUGUCUUUUUGUAAAUAAUAAAAAGUCUAAUCUGCCCACUGAAUUUAUUUAAAGGGCUGCAGUAUAUUGACUGUACAAAGGUAGCAUAAUCAAUAGUCUUUUAAUUGAAGACUUGUAUGAAUGAUUUGAUGAAAUAUAAACUGUCUCUUUACUAAAAAUAAAAUUUAAUUUUUUAGUUAAAAAGCUAAAAUAAUUAUAAAAGACGAGAAGACCCUAUAGAGUUUUAUAUUUAUUUUAUUUAGAAAUUAUUUAUAUAAUUUAAAUAUAUAAUAAUUUAAAUAUUUUAUUGGGGUGAUAGAAAAAUUAAAUAAACUUUUUUUAAAUUUUAACAUUAAUUUAUGAAAUUAUGAUCCAUAAUUUAUGAUUAAAAGAAAAAAUUACCUUAGGGAUAACAGCGUAAUUUUUUUUUUUAGUUCAAAUAAAAAAAAGAGUUUGCGACCUCGAUGUUGGAUUAAGAUAAAAUUUAAAUGCAAAAGUUUAAAAUUUUUGAUCUGUUCGAUCAUUAAAAUCUUACAUGAUCU
Molecule: ribosomal RNA, 527 nt
Filed under: Eurema aff. laeta A SSG-2014
Lineage: Eukaryota; Metazoa; Arthropoda; Insecta; Lepidoptera; Pieridae
Description: partial 16S ribosomal RNA
Rfam family: Bacterial large subunit ribosomal RNA (bases 394-527)
Source: RNAcentral